Myripristis murdjan (pinecone soldierfish) is the source of this 864-nucleotide long non-coding RNA. RefSeq lists it as uncharacterized. The record is from RefSeq and is a predicted model, not a curated record. Lineage: Eukaryota; Metazoa; Chordata; Actinopteri; Holocentriformes; Holocentridae. The transcript has 3 exons.
GGCAAGAGAAAGGAAGAGGAAACUGAGGAUCACAUGAAGUCAAACCCAGAAGGAUCUGUCCUCAGGGCCGAGAUGGCUCCACUGUGGAGGAAUGACUUUCACCUUUGGGUUGAUGCCCUUGUCAGCCAGGCAAAUGAACCUGUGUUGCAUGAGCAGUAGGUCAAGGCCAAAUGUCACGUCCUGGACAUUAUGUCCAUCAUGCACACGGGAGUUCAAUGACCCGGGCCAGCCAAAAGCAGUGGAAGAACAAAAGUCCGUAUUAAGGUGGAGAUAAGUGUCUGUCCUCCGUGCCCGUCUCUGCCUAGCUCCUAACCUCUAUAAACACGGGCCUUAUCACAAGCAUUUAUGGCACUCUGCAUGCCGCAUGAUUACUACAGUCGGAUGGCUGCUGAGUGUCACACAGAAGAAAGGAUGAUUCAGGUCACAUUCUUCCAUGUAUUGUUAUGGUGUUAUGAUUCAGCUCCUGCCAGUUAUUGUGUGAGCGUAGACACAGUAACCUCUACAGGAGUGAUAACUGUGGUAUAUCAUAAUGAGAUCUGUUCAGGAGGGAAAAUGAGACGGCGACAAACUAUUCUGGAAUGUAUUGCAAAAAAGAGAAGUACAAAGACAGUACGAGCUAAAACAAUCACUCGGUGACUGGUGCUGCCAGUUGUGCCCGGCACAUAAUUGCUUUAUGCAGUCAUCAUCUCAUGGACUGACCUUGACUCCAAUGCUCACUGGUUCAGCUAUUCCCAUGGGGUUUCCAUCCUGUGACAGGUGUCAGAGCUUGUGUAUCAGAUGCACUGUCACAAUUAAAAGAGCAGAUUUUAUUGUAGCACUAGUUUCUUGAUGUCCAGAGCUCUAUAGCACGUGUUGUAUCUUGUG